This 1509-nucleotide ribosomal RNA is filed under the name Helicobacter pylori. RNAcentral describes it as "bacterial SSU rRNA". It matches the Rfam family "Bacterial small subunit ribosomal RNA". The record is from RNAcentral. Lineage: Bacteria; Pseudomonadati; Campylobacterota; Epsilonproteobacteria; Campylobacterales; Helicobacteraceae.
UUUAUGGAGAGUUUGAUCCUGGCUCAGAGUGAACGCUGGCGGCGUGCCUAAUACAUGCAAGUCGAACGAUGAAGCUUCUAGCUUGCUAGAAUGCUGAUUAGUGGCGCACGGGUGAGUAACGCAUAGGUUAUGUGCCUCUUAGUUUGGGAUAGCCAUUGGAAACGAUGAUUAAUACCAGAUACUCCCUACGGGGGAAAGAUUUAUCGCUAAGAGAUCAGCCUAUGUCCUAUCAGCUUGUUGGUGAGGUAAUGGCUUACCAAGGCUAUGACGGGUAUCCGGCCUGAGAGGGUGAACGGACACACUGGAACUGAGACACGGUCCAGACUCCUACGGGAGGCAGCAGUAGGGAAUAUUGCUCAAUGGGGGAAACCCUGAAGCAGCAACGCCGCGUGGAGGAUGAAGGUUUUAGGAUUGUAAACUCCUUUUGUUAGAGAAGAUAAUGACGGUAUCUAACGAAUAAGCACCGGCUAACUCCGUGCCAGCAGCCGCGGUAAUACGGAGGGUGCAAGCGUUACUCGGAAUCACUGGGCGUAAAGAGCGCGUAGGCGGGAUAGUCAGUCAGGUGUGAAAUCCUAUGGCUUAACCAUAGAACUGCAUUUGAAACUACUAUUCUAGAGUGUGGGAGAGGUAGGUGGAAUUCUUGGUGUAGGGGUAAAAUCCGUAGAGAUCAAGAGGAAUACUCAUUGCGAAGGCGACCUGCUGGAACAUUACUGACGCUGAUUGCGCGAAAGCGUGGGGAGCAAACAGGAUUAGAUACCCUGGUAGUCCACGCCCUAAACGAUGGAUGCUAGUUGUUGGAGGGCUUAGUCUCUCCAGUAAUGCAGCUAACGCAUUAAGCAUCCCGCCUGGGGAGUACGGUCGCAAGAUUAAAACUCAAAGGAAUAGACGGGGACCCGCACAAGCGGUGGAGCAUGUGGUUUAAUUCGAAGAUACACGAAGAACCUUACCUAGGCUUGACAUUGAGAGAAUCCGCUAGAAAUAGUGGAGUGUCUGGCUUGCCAGACCUUGAAAACAGGUGCUGCACGGCUGUCGUCAGCUCGUGUCGUGAGAUGUUGGGUUAAGUCCCGCAACGAGCGCAACCCCCUUUCUUAGUUGCUAACAGGUUAUGCUGAGAACUCUAAGGAUACUGCCUCCGUAAGGAGGAGGAAGGUGGGGACGACGUCAAGUCAUCAUGGCCCUUACGCCUAGGGCUACACACGUGCUACAAUGGGGUGCACAAAGAGAAGCAAUACUGCGAAGUGGAGCCAAUCUUCAAAACACCUCUCAGUUCGGAUUGUAGGCUGCAACUCGCCUGCAUGAAGCUGGAAUCGCUAGUAAUCGCAAAUCAGCCAUGUUGCGGUGAAUACGUUCCCGGGUCUUGUACUCACCGCCCGUCACACCAUGGGAGUUGUGUUUGCCUUAAGUCAGGAUGCUAAAUUAGCUACUGCCCACGGCACACACAGCGACUGGGGUGAAGUCGUAACAAGGUAACCGUAGGUGAACCUGCGGUUGGAUCACCUCCUUUCUAGA